This 62-nucleotide transfer RNA is filed under the name Tangfeifania diversioriginum. RNAcentral's name for it is "tRNA_Asn_GTT". The record is from RNAcentral. Lineage: Bacteria; Pseudomonadati; Bacteroidota; Bacteroidia; Marinilabiliales; Prolixibacteraceae.
ACGGAAGAAACUCAUUCUGUUGGGAGUGAAAAAUGUUGUAAGUUCGAGUCUUACCUUCCGUA